Molecule: ribosomal RNA, 552 nt
Filed under: uncultured bacterium
Lineage: Bacteria
Description: bacterial SSU rRNA
Rfam family: Bacterial small subunit ribosomal RNA
Source: RNAcentral
AAUAGAUACCCGGGUAGUCCACCCCGUAAACGUUGGGAACUAGUUGUGGGGUCCUUUUCCACGGAUUCCGGUGACGCAGCUAACGCAUUAAGUUCCCCGCCUGGGGAGUACGGCCGCAAGGCUAAAACUCGAAAGGAAUUGACGGGGACCCGCACAAGCGGCGGAGCAGUGCGGAUUAAUUCGAUGCAACGCGAAGAACCUUACCAAGGCUUGACAUACACCAGAACACCCUAGAAAUAGGGGACUCUUUGGUACACUGGUGAACAGGUGGUGCAUGGUUGUCGUCAGCUCGUGUCGUGAGAUGUUGGGUUUAAGUCCCGCAACGAGCGCAACCCUCGUUCUAUGUUGCCAGCACGUAAUGGUGGGAACUUCAUGAGAUACUGCCGGGGUCAACUCGGGGGAAGGUGGGGAUGACGUCAAAUCAUCAUGCCCCUUAUGUCUUGGGCUUCACGCAUGCUACAAUGGCCGGUACAAAGGGCUGCAAUACCGUGAGGUGGAGCGAAUCCCAAAAGCCGGUCCCGAGUUCGGAUUGAGGUCUGCAACUCGACCUCA